This is a non-coding RNA of Doryrhamphus excisus (bluestripe pipefish), 6447 nucleotides long. The record is from RefSeq and is a predicted model, not a curated record. Lineage: Eukaryota; Metazoa; Chordata; Actinopteri; Syngnathiformes; Syngnathidae.
UUUAAUCGUAUGGAAAGGACUGUACCAUUCUGGAGUGAGGAGAACAUUUCUGCAGUUCUAAGGUGACUUGAACGACCGAAGGAAUUAAAGGAAUUCAAGGAAUUAUUUUUUUUAAAAUAGUCAUACUUGUACCACAGUUAAAUGUCACGCUAAAACAAUAAUAAGAGUUACUAGAUGGCAUGGCAGGGUAACAAAAUUAUUGUGCUAGUUGGUCCGUCCUUAUGUUAACCACUUCCUGGUUCACAGAACGUACCAAUUACUAUUCUCGGGCAGGGUGGGGAAAUAGUAUUGUAGCGUUGCGUGUGUGUUGUAUUCCGGGCUGUAGUUUCAUGCAUGGACGCUGGGGGGCAGUCAUGUUCAGCUCGCGGUUUUGGAGCGGGCGUUUUGGGACCAAGGAGGAAGAACGUGAGCGAAAAGGGGGAAGUUCGGUUGCCGGGCGCCGAAGUUAGUGAGUUAAGUCUGCAACAGGCCAGUAAGUUGUUUCUCAUGCUGAUUGGAAAUAAAAAAAACCAUGCAACGAUAGAGCCAUCCUGACUGCCGUCAUUCUACGACGCUACACUGGUGUCAGAAGUGACUUCGAACGUGAGCCUACUGUACUGUUUUGCCCGAGUCUUCGGCGGCGUCGAGUAUGAGCCACCGAGGGGAGCCGCGUGUGAAGGAGGAGGUGGAGAGCGACAGCGAGGUGGGCGCUGCCAGUUGGGAAGGGAGGGAGCGCCGAGAGAUGGUGAGAGCUUGUCGGGAGGCGUGGAGAGAAGCUGUCGGCAUGUCGAAGCUGUCACCGGCGGCCAAGAAUGGCGGCCUUGCAGCGUGCACAGAGAACAACGCGGUGGACGGCGCACCACGUGCAGUUGCGGCCAUGUGUCUGAAAACGCCCAAAUAUUCUGGGAAGGCUGACUGGGAGGCUUUUCACGCCCAAUUUGAGCUGAUUGCAAAUGCACAGCAGUGGUCCAAUAAAGACAAAGCUUUACAGUUGGCAGUGUGUCUCACGGAGGACGCCUUAUCUUGCCUUUUGCUCCUUGACCCAGAGAGUCGCCAUGAUUAUAAAGCUCUAGUGGGGGCGCUAAAGAGGCGUUUUGGACAGUGCGCACAACCGGGGCUCCUGAGAAAUGAACUGAGCUACAGGUGUCGCACUGCUGGAGAACCGCUGCGAACUCUGGCUUAUGCCAUUGAGAGCCUGUCAAGGCGGGCAUAUUCCCACAUGUCGCCAGAGGUACAAAGUGAGCUGGCACGCGACCAAUUUGUCAGAGCUCUUCGGCCCCCAGAACUAAGAGCUCAAGUUCAUCUGUUACACCCCCGCACCCUGCAAGAAGCCCUAGAAUUGGCUGUGGAGAGAGAAAUGGUGGAGAGCUCCAGCGUGGCAGAGGGGAGGGUCCUGCCGCCCACAGCGAGGUCAGCAGCAGGGAGUCAAGAGGCUGACUAUAAACCCCCUUGGGUGGCCGAAAUCACAGAACUGAUCAGGUCCGUGUCGCUACAGUCGCCACAACGCCCACGCCCUGGAGUGAGGGUAUGCUGGGGGUGUGGCCAGCCCGGUCACUUGAUCAGAGAAUGCCCUCGCUCGCCCCAGUCGUCGGGAAACGACCACGGGCCCGCAUAGUGGGGGAUGUGCGGACCCGAGAGGCUAACACCCCACAAGCUGCUGUGUCUACCACCUCCAGGGGGUCCCAAGUGAGCAUGGGCGUGGAGGCGAUUGGAGCUGUGGGGCGCACGUCGGACAAAGGCUCCAGCUACGUGAUGAUCCAAGUGGAGGGCGUGUUCUGUCCGGCCCUCAUAGACACGGGGGCAACGGUGACGCUGAUAAGGUCUGACGUGUGGCCGAAGAACGCCCAUCUUGAAAUGACAGCGGUAGCUCUACGCUCAGUCACAGGAGAGUGGUCCCCUCUCCAAGGGAAAGGACGACUGGCACUGUCGGUGGGGGGCAUGUCACUCCAGCACCCGGUAUGGAAAGCAGCCAUACAAGACCCGUGCAUCCUGGGUCUGGAUUUUUUGAAGGCGGCUGACUGUGUGAUGAACAUCGGAAGUGGGUGGAUCAGCUUUCAGGGGGGUCCUGCCAUUCCUAUGACCUCCCUGGAUUCCCUCGAUCCCCGGGCCAAGCACAUGGUAUGUGCACUGGAGGCCGCAGGCCCACCUCCGCCUUCGAGGGAGCCCCGCCGACAACCAGAGACAGCGGGCAGAGACUCUGUGAAAGAGGGAGCUGUGGACAGGACGCUGUGGGAGUUGUGGAAAAGGAACUGCAGUGGCCUGACCCCCAAGCAAGAGGAACGGCUGCUAAGCCUGCUGACGGACUUCAGUGAUACCUUCGCCAAGAACGACGAUGAAGGGGGUCUCACUCAUUUGACACAGCAUGAGAUUGACACGGGGGAGGCCAGGCCAAUUAAAUGCCGCCCCCGUCGCCUUCCCUUGGCCCGACACGCAGCUUGUGAGGAGGCUGUAGCUAAGCUGCUGCGAGCGGGUAUUAUCGAACCUUCCGACAGUCCAUGGACAUCGGCAGUUGUCAUGGUGCCAAAGAAGUCGGGGGAAUGGCGUCUCUGUGUUGACUACCGGACUGUCAAUGGGGUGACCAAGAAGGAUGCUUACCCACUGCCGCGCAUUGACGAGUCCUUAGACCUGGUCUCGGGCUCAUCCUGGUUCUCGUCCUUGGACCUCCGCAGUGGCUAUUAUCAGGUGCCCCUUUCCCAGGAGGCCCGACCCAAAACAGCGUUUUCCACCGGGAGGGGCCUUUGGCAGUUUAAGGUCCUCCCUUUUGGACUGUGCAAUGCACCAGCAACCUUUUCGAGGUUGAUGGACAGAGUGCUGGCCGGGGUCCCUCGCCAGCAGUGCCUCGUGUAUUUGGAUGACAUCCUGGCCCAUGGAAGCUCGUUCGAGACAGCGCUAAAGUCCCUGAGGGUGGUAUUGGAGAACAUCAGAGCAGCUGGCCUGAAAUUACACCCAGGAAAGUGCCACUUCAUGCAGAGAGAAGUGACAUUCCUGGGUCACCGCGUGGGAGGUGAAGGAGUCAGCACCCUGGCUGAUAAAGUGAAGGCGGUGGUGGAAUGGCCAGUGCCCACCAACCCGAAGCAGCUGAAAAGUUUCCUGGGGCUAGCCUCGUACUACAGGAGGUUCGUGCGAGGUUUUGCUGGCACAGCGGCACCCCUCUUCCAGCUACUCCAGAAGGGCCGAGACUUUGAGUGGUCUGACCCCUGCCAAAAAGCAUUCAACAGCCUUCAGCAAGCCCUGAGUGAGUCCCCAGUGCUAACAUCCGCGAAUCCGGACUUGCCCUUCAUCCUCGACACAGAUGCUAGCGGAGAGGGAGUAGGAGCGGUGCUGGCGCAGCCCACACCCGAAGGCGAGAGGGUCGUGGCCUACUUCAGCAGAGUGCUGGGCAAGGCUGAAAGGCGCUACUGUGUCACCCGCAGAGAGCUGCUGGCUGUGGUGCUGUCCAUCAGACACUUUAAAUAUUACUUAUGUGGCCAGCCUUUUACUGUGAGGACAGACCACUCAGCUCUCAGCUGGCUGAUGACCUUCAAGGAGCCAGAAGGGCAAGUGGCACGGUGGCUCGAAGAAUUACAGGCUUACAGCUUCAAGGUGGAGCACAGAGCCGGGACACGUCACUCCAACGCAGACGCGCUGUCCCGCCGCCCGUGUGCUGCAGAGGGCUGCCGCUAUUGUGACAGGAGAGAGGCCCGCGAGGAGGAGUUGUUGGAGGAAGCGGGUGGCGGCCUGUCGGAGUGCCGGGUUGCAGGAGUGAUGGCCAGGGAACUUCAGGCUGUGGGAGUCGCUGAGUGGGAGCAGAAGCAAGAGGAGGAUGGAGACCUGCAACCAGUCCGGAGGUGGGUGGAGUCUCAGCGACCUCCAGCAUGGGAGGAGAUAGCCCACACGUCAGCAGGGACUAAAGGCUUGUGGUCCAAGUUUGACACACUGCGGCUGAGCCAAGGGGUGCUGCAGCGGGCGUGGAGGGAGCCAGCGACAGGGGAAGAGAGGUGGCAGGUGGUUGUCCCAAGGUGUCUACAAGAGCCUGUGUUGGCUGCCAUGCACGGAGCGGCUGGUUCUGGACACUUUGGUGUGGCUAAGACCCUGCGCCGCCUUCGCCAAAGCUUCUACUGGGGCCGCUGCAGGAGAGAUGUGGAGGAUUUUUGCCGCCGCUGCGACUUGUGCACAGCGAGGAAGGGCCCCCCUGGCCGCUCCUGUGCCCCACUGCAGCAGGCCCUCAUGGGAGCGCCCAUGGAAAGAGUGGCAGUCGACAUUGUGGGACCGCUGCCGCGCUCCGAUCGCGGGAAUCGUUAUGUCCUGUCAGCCAUCGACUACUUCACACGGUGGCCAGAGGCGUACCCGCUACCCGACCAGGAAGCCGAGACAGUCGCUAGCGCCUUGAUAGAGGGAAUGUUUAGCCGCUUUGGAGUUCCAGAGACGCUGCAUAGUGACCAAGGAAGAAAUUUUGAGUCACGAGUGUUUGCAGAAAUGUGUGGGCGGCUGGGCAUCAGAAAGACACGCACAACCCCUCUGCGGCCCCAGAGUGACGGGUUGGUGGAAAGAUUUCAUCGCACUCUGGGUGAGCAGCUGGCCAUUUUGACAUCACGGCACCAGAAGGACUGGGAUGAUCAUCUUCCCCUGGUGCUCAUGGCCUGUCGCUCUGCUGUACAGGAGUCUACAGCCUGCACGCCAUCCCUGCUCAUGCUGGGGAGGGAGCUCCGUACGCCAGCCGAGUUGUCCUUUGGCCGCCCCCCAGAGACCACAGAGCCAGUCCCUGGUCCAGAGUAUUCCAGGAAACUCCAGGACCGGCUGGAGGCCGCUCACGAGUUCGCCCGGCAGCAGCAACAGAGGGCAGGCAGGCGACAGAAGAGGAACUAUGACCUGAAAGCAAGAGGGAGGCAUUUCCAACAGGACGAACAGGUGUGGGUCUACCUCCCACAGCGCAAGAAGGGGCGGUGCCCCAAACUGGACAGCCCUUGGACGGGGCCGUGCAGAGUUCUGGAGAGAGUCGGGGAAGUCGUGUACAGAGUGCAGCUGCCAGACCGAGGAAGGAAAGUGGUUCUUCAUCGGGACCGGCUGGCGCCAUACCGGGGAGUGCAGGGAGUGGGCCAUAGGGCCCCUGCUCCACCAGAGGCGGACGGGAGACGUUCACCACUCCCAGCUCAGGAUGGAGAGCCGCCCGGGCUGGCAGCGCCAGAGGUGGGACAGCCGGUUUCACCAUCCGCUGGAACUCCCCCCAUAGCGAGGCGCCCGAGGAGGAGAAGGCCGCCACGGUAUCUCAGAGACUAUGUGGGUCACAAUGUUGGGGGGAGCACUUGAAAUUGUGUUACGCUGUUGCUAAUGUUCAUUGAUUGUUGCUGAUUCUCUGUGCCCUCGGGGCGAGGGCCUUUGUGGGGCGGGGGUAGUGUAGCGUUGCGUGUGUGUUGUAUUCCGGGCUGUAGUUUCAUGCAUGGACGCUGGGGGGCAGUCAUGUUCAGCUCGCGGUUUUGGAGCGGGCGUUUUGGGACCAAGGAGGAAGAACGUGAGCGAAAAGGGGGAAGUUCGGUUGCCGGGCGCCGAAGUUAGUGAGUUAAGUCUGCAACAGGCCAGUAAGUUGUUUCUCAUGCUGAUUGGAAAUAAAAAAAACCAUGCAACGAUAGAGCCAUCCUGACUGCCGUCAUUCUACGACGCUACAGUAUGGACACGACAAAAAGAGAAGAUGUUGGCUAACAAAUGUGCAAAUUCUAAUGUUACCUUAUUUGUGUUUAUGUGUUAGUUAGUAGGCUAAUUUGUAAAAUUAGCAAGGGAGUCAUAUUUUCUAUGCCGCUUCUGUGGAUCCAUUCAGUAAUUUAUUAAUGCACAUUUUGCGCCAAAGUAUAACCUCUUGACAUGUUGUUGUGCUUUGAUAUAAUGUACACAUGCUUAAAACACCAAAUAAAAACAUUACAAUUAUGAUUAAUUCAUUCAACAUUUCAUACUUUGAGCAACCUUUUUCGGUCAGUCGGUUCUCAGCAAAGCUGUGUAAUGUCUCCCUCUGCAGGAAGAUGCUUCAGAGCCAAACUAAACACUUAUUGCAGUGUGGUCCUCUCUGAUGAUGGAGGGAAGCAAAUAAGUGCAUGUCAGACGUUUAUAAUGUGGAUAGAAUACGUCUGCUGUUUGUAAGUCAACACUUCAGUCAUUUCUCACAUCUUUUUUGGGGGUGGUCCUGUUGUUGUAGCUGCUUGGGAGACAAAAGAGGCCAAUAGCAAUAAUGUUGCUGUCAAGCUUGUGAAGGAGGCAAGGUUUUAUGAAGGUGAUGGAAUAAACACGCCGGCCCUAUUCCUUCUCAUGGUCUUCCCAAUGCCUUCAAAGACUGCAACAAAAUGGUGACAGACACGAGGGGGCAGCAACGAAACUUUAACCUAGUUUGGCUACUACACUAGAAUACACGAAGAAGAACCAUACCCGGACGUAAACCGGGAGGUGUGUACGGGUUUGGUUGUCCAGCGGGAAAAAAAGGUGUCGUUUCUUGAAGGAUGGCAU